Brachypodium distachyon (stiff brome) is the source of this 106-nucleotide non-coding RNA. NCBI's taxonomy places the organism in Eukaryota, Viridiplantae, Streptophyta, Magnoliopsida, Poales, Poaceae. The record is from Rfam.
AGUCCAUGAUUAGGACACAUCCUUAUGAGAGCUUGAUACCUCUGCCAUGCAUCAUGCAAACUUUCACCUUGAUACUGCAUAAAUCUUGUUAUCUUGUCUCUAUACU